This 460-nucleotide ribosomal RNA is filed under the name uncultured bacterium. Its description in RNAcentral is "partial 16S ribosomal RNA". It matches the Rfam family "Bacterial small subunit ribosomal RNA", at positions 338 to 795 of the family's 1533-position model. The record is from RNAcentral.
CCUACGGGCGGCAGCAGUGAGGAAUAUUGGUCAAUGGGCGCGAGUCUGAACCAGCCAAGUAGCGUGAAGGAUGACUGCCCUACGGGUUGUAAACUUCUUUUAUAAAGGAAUAAAGUGAGGCACGUGUGCCUUUUUGUAUGUACUUUAUGAAUAAGGAUCGGCUAACUCCGUGCCAGCAGCCGCGGUAAUACGGAGGAUCCGAGCGUUAUCCGGAUUUAUUGGGUUUAAAGGGAGCGUAGGUGGGUUGUUAAGUCAGUUGUGAAAGUUUGCGGCUCAACCGUAAAAUUGCAGUUGAUACUGGCAGCCUUGAGUACAGUUGAGGUAGGCGGAAUUCGUGGUGUAGCGGUGAAAUGCUUAGAUAUCACGAAGAACUCCGAUUGCGAAGGCAGCCUACUAGACUGCAACUGACAUUGAUGCUCGAAAGUGUGGGUAUCAAACAGGGUUAGAUACCCGAGUAGUC